AUAUCAAUAAGCGGAGGAAAAGAAACUAACAAGGAUUCCCCUAGUAACGGCGAGUGAAGCGGGAUGAGCUCAAGCUUAAAAUCUCCGUGCAAGUUUUGCGCGGCGAAUUGUAGUCUAUAGAGGCGUGGUCAGCGUGGGCACUUGGGGCAAGUUCCUUGGAAGAGGACAGCAUGGAGGGUGAUACUCCCGUUCAUCCCUGAGUUGCUCAUGCGUACGACCCGUUUUCUUUGAGUCGCGUUGUUUGGGAAUGCAGCGCAAAGUAGGUGGUAAAUUCCAUCUAAAGCUAAAUAUUGGUGCGAGACCGAUAGCGAACAAGUACCGUGAGGGAAAGAUGAAAAGAACUUUGAAAAGAGAGUUAAAGAGUACCUGAAACUGCUGAAAGGGAACCGAAUCGUUUCCAGUGUCUAUAAUCCGUGGCAUAUUUCAUUGGCGAGUGUGUGCGUGCGUGUGCUGUGGCAGUGGCUUUUUUGGCUGCGCUCGGUGUGUGUGCUGUGUGUGCUUGCUGGUGCCCUGUGCUGCGGUGGGACGUCAAGGUCAGUUCGUAUGCUGCGGGAAAUGGCUGCCGAGGAGGUAGGGCUUACGCUUGCGUUUGUCUGUUAUAUCUUGGUGGACGAGUCGUCGCGGUUGGGACUGAGGUGCCUACAACGUGCUUUUGAGUGGGUUUGUGUCUCCGUGUGCGCCGUGUGCGGAUAGCUUGCUAUGCGUGUGUGGUUGUGUGUGGAUUGAUGCGGGCUUUAACUUGUUGCCGUUCGGGACGUUGACGAAAUGGAGCGAUCCGACCCGUCUUGAAACACGGACCAAGGAGUCUUUCAUGUGU
This 817-nucleotide ribosomal RNA is filed under the name Phytophthora katsurae. RNAcentral describes it as "eukaryotic LSU rRNA". It matches the Rfam family "Eukaryotic large subunit ribosomal RNA", at positions 40 to 685 of the family's 3401-position model. Lineage: Eukaryota; Oomycota; Peronosporomycetes; Peronosporales; Peronosporaceae. The record is from RNAcentral.